Molecule: ribosomal RNA, 468 nt
Filed under: uncultured bacterium
Lineage: Bacteria
Description: partial 16S ribosomal RNA
Rfam family: Bacterial small subunit ribosomal RNA
Source: RNAcentral
GACGAACGCUGGCGGCGUGCUUAACACAUGCAAGUCGAACGGAAAGGCCCUGCUUUUGUGGGGUGCUCGAGUGGCGAACGGGUGAGUAACACGUGAGUAACCUGCCCUUGACUUUGGGAUAACUUCAGGAAACUGGGGCUAAUACCGGAUAGGAGCUCUUGCUGCAUGUUGGGGGUUGGAAAGUUUCGGCGGUUGGGGAUGGACUCGCGGCUUAUCAGCUUGUUGGCGGGGUAGUGGCUUACCAAGGCUUUGACGGGUAGCCGGCCUGAGAGGGGGACCGGCCACAUUGGGACUGAGAGACGCGCCAGACUCCUACGGGAGGCAGCAGUGGGGAAUAUUGCACAAUAGGCGGAAGCCUGAUGCAGAAACGCAGCGUGCGGGAUAACGGGCUUCGGGUUGUAAACCGCUUUCGCCUGUGACGAGGAGUGAGUGACGGUAAUGGGUAAAGAAGCACCGGCUAACUACGUG